This 468-nucleotide ribosomal RNA is filed under the name uncultured bacterium. RNAcentral describes it as "partial 16S ribosomal RNA". It matches the Rfam family "Bacterial small subunit ribosomal RNA", at positions 28 to 507 of the family's 1533-position model. The record is from RNAcentral.
GACGAACGCUGGCGGCGUGCUUAACACAUGCAAGUCGAACGGAAAGGCCCUGCUUUUGUGGGGUGCUCGAGUGGCGAACGGGUGAGUAACACGUGAGUAACCUGCCCUUGACUUUGGGAUAACUUCAGGAAACUGGGGCUAAUACCGGAUAGGAGCUCCUGCUGCAUGGUGGGGGUUGGAAAGUUUCGGCGGUUGGGGAUGGACUCGCGGCUUAUCAGCUUGUUGGUGGGGUAGUGGCUUACCAAGGCUUUGACGGGUAGCCGGCCUGAGAGGGUGACCGGCCAAAUUGGGACUGAGAUACGGCCCAGACUCCUACGGGAGGCAGAAGUGGGGAAUAUUGCACAAUGGGCGGAAGCCUGAUGCAGCACCGCCGCGUGCGGGAUGACGGCCUUCGGGUUGUAAACCGCUUUCGCCUGUGACGAAGCGUGAGUGACGGUAAUGGGUAAAGAAGCACCGGCUAACUACGUG